GGAGCAUGUGGUUUAAUUCGAUGCAACGCGAAGAACCUUACCUACUCUUGACAUCCACAGAACUUAGCAGAGAUGCUUCGGUGCCUUCGGGAACUGUGAGACAGGUGCUGCAUGGCUGUCGUCAGCUCGUGUUGUGAAAUGUUGGGUUAAGUCCCGCAACGAGCGCAACCCUUAUCCUUUGUUGCCAGCACGUAAUGGUGGGAACUCAAGGGAGACUGCCGGUGACAAACCGGAGGAAGGUGGGGAUGACGUCAAGUCAUCAUGGCCCUUACGAGUAGGGCUACACACGUGCUACAAUGGCAGAUACAAAGUGAAGCGAACUCGCGAGAGCAAGCGGACCACAUAAAGUCUGUCGUAGUCCGGAUUGGAGUCUGCAACUCGACUCCANGAAG
RNAcentral lists this ribosomal RNA (392 nucleotides) under Yersinia sp. AZTITEMP288. RNAcentral's name for it is "bacterial SSU rRNA". It matches the Rfam family "Bacterial small subunit ribosomal RNA", at positions 934 to 1325 of the family's 1533-position model. Lineage: Bacteria; Pseudomonadati; Pseudomonadota; Gammaproteobacteria; Enterobacterales; Yersiniaceae. The record is from RNAcentral.